RNAcentral lists this ribosomal RNA (321 nucleotides) under uncultured bacterium. RNAcentral's name for it is "bacterial SSU rRNA". It matches the Rfam family "Bacterial small subunit ribosomal RNA", at positions 29 to 339 of the family's 1533-position model. The record is from RNAcentral.
AAUCAACGCUGGCGGCGUGCCUAACACAUGCAAGUCGAGCGCGAAAGCGGGGCAACUCGCAAGUAGAGCGGCGAACGGGUGAGUAACGCGUGGGUGAUCUACCUCCGAGUGGGGAACAACAUCGGGAAACUGGUGCUAAUACCGCAUGACAUCCUCGGGUCAUACUGAGGAUCAAAGCCGGGGACCGCAAGGCCUGGCGCUUGGAGAGGAGCCCCGCGUCCGAUAGCUAGUUGGCGGGGUAACGGCCCACCAAGGCGACGAUCGGUAGCCGGCCUGAGAGGGCGGACGGCCACACUGGGACUGAGACACGGCCCAGACUCC